GACGAACGCUGGCGGCGUGCCUAAUACAUGCAAGUCGAACGAGAGCGACCGGUGCUUGCACUGGUCAAUCUAGUGGCGAACGGGUGAGUAACACGUGGGUAACCUGCCCAUCAGAGGGGGAUAACAUCCGGAAACGGAUGCUAAAACCGCAUAGGUCUUCGAACCGCAUGGUUUGAAGAGGAAAAGAGGCGCAAGCUUCUGCUGAUGGAUGGACCCGCGGUGCAUUAGCUAGUUGGUGAGGUAACGGCUCACCAAGGCCGUGAUGCAUAGCCGACCUGAGAGGGUGAUCGGCCACAUUGGGACUGAGACACGGCCCAAGCUCCUACGGGAGGCAGCAGUAGGGAAUCUUCCGCAAUGGACGCAAGUCUGACGGAGCAACGCCGCGUGAGUGAAGAAGGUUUUCGGAUCGUAAAACUCUGUUGUUAGAGAAGAACAAGUGCUAGAGUAACUGUUAGCGCCUUGACGGUAUCUAACCAGAAAGCCACGGCUAACUACGUG
This 498-nucleotide ribosomal RNA is filed under the name uncultured bacterium. Its description in RNAcentral is "partial 16S ribosomal RNA". It matches the Rfam family "Bacterial small subunit ribosomal RNA", at positions 28 to 507 of the family's 1533-position model. The record is from RNAcentral.